UCAAGAACCUUUGAUGAAUGAAUUAUUAACUUAAUAAUAAAUCAAUGACUCUUUAAUCAACAUUAACAGGACUUUAUAAAUAGAGUCAAAGAGUGAUGGAAAUUGUAGGGAGGGAAGCGGAUGGGGGCUGGUGAUGCGCCCCGAUCAAAUGUGGAAAGGUGAUGAGUCGGUCCGCUAAUCGACUCGGGGAGUGGACCAGCAUGGAUUGGGGGAGAUGCAAGGCCCGAGCUCUCGAUACGCCUAUGGAAUGUCGUCUCCUCAAUUGUGGUAGGAAAUAUGCGCCUCUGGCGUACUACGACAUCUACGCGCUCUAGACGCUAGCCUGUGGGCUCCCUGUUCGACCUGUCUUGAAACACGGACUAAGGAGCCUGAUAUGUGUGCAAGUCAAUGGGCGAGUAAACUUGUAAGCCGUAAGGAAGAUGGUUGGUGGUAUCCCCCUAAGGGGUUCACCGCUGAACGAACUUGAUCAUAUAAGAAAGGUUCGAGUGUGAGCAUACAUGUUGGGACCCAAAACAUAGUGAAAUAUGCCUUAGCGGGGAGAAGCUAGAGUAAACUCUGGUGGAGGCCCGCAGCGAUACUGAUAUGCAAAUUGUUCGUAUAACUUUGGUAUAUGGGAGAAAGACUAAUCAAACCAUCAAGUAGCUGGUUCCCUCCGAAGUUUCCCUCAGGAUAGCUGGAGCUCGCGUGCGAGUUCUAUCGGGUAAAGCAAAUUAUUAGAGGACUCGGGAGAGAAAUGCCCUCGACCCAUUCUCAAACAUUAAAUAGGUAGGACGGCGCGACUGCUUUGUUGAGCCGCGCCAUAUAAUCUAAAGCUCCAACUUUGUCAUUUUUUAUAUUCAGAAUUGGCGAUGCGGGAUGAACCAGAAGCCGGGUUAUGGUUCCAAACUGCUCAUAACCUAGAUUAAUAAAGGGUGUUGGUCGAUUAAGAAAGCAGGACGGUGGUCAUGGAGGUAGAAAUCCGCUAAGGAGUGUGUAACAACUAACUAGCCGAAUCAACUAGCCCUGCAAAUUUGAUCGCAAUUAAGCAAGAUGAGUAGGAGGUGAGGCGGUCGCUGUAAAACCUUGGACGUGAGACUAGGCGCAGCGGCCAUCGGUGCAAAUUUUUGUGGUAGUAACAAAUAUUCAAAUGAGAACUUUGAAGUCCGAAGAGGGGAAAGGUUCCAUGUGAACGGAACUUGCAUAUGUGUUAGUCGAUCAUAAGGGUUGGGGGAGACCCGACAGAUAGCGUGUUUCACGCAUACUCCGAAAGGAAAUCAGGUUAAAUUUCCUGAAAGGUGAUGUGGUGGUUGAUGCUAAAGUUAAAAAGUACGGAGACGUCGGGGGGAGCCUCGGGAAGAUUUAUAUUUUCUUUUUAACAGCCUAUCCACCCUGCAUUCGACUCAGCCGAAGGUAGGGUCUAGUAGCUGGAAUAGCACCGCAUGUCGCGUGGUGUCCGGUGCGCUCCCAGAGGCCCUUUAAAAUCCAGAGGAUCGAAUGUCAUUCAUGCCCGGUCGUACUCAUAACCACAUCAGGUCUCCAAGGUGAACUACCUCUAGUCGAUGGAAUAAUGUAGGCAAGGGAAGUCGCAAAAAUGGAUCCAUAACUUGGGGAAAUGGAUUGGCUUUGAGGGCUGGGCACGGGGGUCCCAGUCCCUAACCGGCGGCUGUCGGUGGACUGUUCGAGCUGCUCCUACAGCGAGAGCGGGUCACCAAGUGUCCUAAGAUGAGAUCAACGAGAACAGAGAUCUCGUGUGGGACAGAAGGGUAAAAUCUUAUUUGAUUCUGAUUUCCAGUACGAAUAAGAACUCUGAAAGCAAGGCCUAACGAUCCUUUAGACCAUUGGAAUUCGAUGCUAGCGUGGGGAUAACUGGCCUGUGGUAGCCAAGCGUUCAUAACGACGUUGCUUUUUGAUCCUUCGAUGUCCUCUCUUCCAAUAGUUGUGAACCAGAAUUCACCAAGUGUUGGAUUGUUCACCCACCAAUAGGGAACGUGAGCUGGGUUUAGACUAUCUUGAGACAGGUUAGUUUACCCUACUGAUGAUAGUGUCACAAUAGUAAUUCAACCUAGUACGAGAGGAAUUGUUGAUUCACAAAAUUGGCCAUCGCUCUUGGUUGAAAAGACAGUGGCGCGAAGCUACCAUGUGCUGGAUUAUGAGUGAAUGCCUCUAAGUAAGAAUUUGAACUAGAAGUGAAGCAUGCGCCCCCUGUCCGCUUGCUGAACCGCAGUAGGGGCCUCUAACCCCCAAGGGUACAUGUCAUUAGCUAAGUCUCCGUGACGGAAGCAACACAGUGACUGUGUU
Molecule: ribosomal RNA, 2277 nt
Filed under: Solanum pennellii
Lineage: Eukaryota; Viridiplantae; Streptophyta; Magnoliopsida; Solanales; Solanaceae
Description: eukaryotic LSU rRNA
Rfam family: Eukaryotic large subunit ribosomal RNA
Source: RNAcentral